Molecule: non-coding RNA, 73 nt
Organism: Cordylochernes scorpioides
Lineage: Eukaryota; Metazoa; Arthropoda; Arachnida; Pseudoscorpiones; Chernetidae
Source: the annotation of a GenBank genome assembly
GUUGAGGGGCGGGAAUCGAACCCACAACCUUCUGCUUACCGGGCAGGUGCCAUGUCCACUAGGCUACCCUGGA